UACGUAGGGCGCAAGCGUUAUCCGGAAUUAUUGGGCGUAAAGAGCUCGUAGGCGGUUUGUCGCGUCUGCCGUGAAAAUCCAGGGCUUAACCCUGGACCUGCAUCGGGUACGGGCAGACUAGAGUGCGGUAGGGGAGAUCGGAAUUCCUGGUGUAGCGGUGAAAUGCGCAGAUAUCAGGAGGAACACCGGUGGCGAAGGCGGAUCUCUGGGCCGUAACUGACGCUGAGGAGCGAAAGCAUGGGGAGCGAACAGG
Molecule: ribosomal RNA, 253 nt
Filed under: uncultured bacterium
Lineage: Bacteria
Description: partial 16S ribosomal RNA
Rfam family: Bacterial small subunit ribosomal RNA
Source: RNAcentral